UACAGAGGUCUCAAGCGUUGUUCGGAUUCAUUGGGCGUAAAGGGUGUGUAGGUGGCGCGCUAAGUCGGGUGUGAAAUUUCGGAGCUUAACUCCGAAACUGCAUUCGAUACCGCCGUGCUUGAGGACUGGAGAGGAGACUGGAAUUUACGGUGUAGCGGUGAAAUGCGUAGAUAUCGUAAGGAAGACCAGUGGCGAAGGCGGGUCUCUGGACAGUUCCUGACGCUGAGGCACGAAGGUCAGGGGAGCAAACGGG
This 253-nucleotide ribosomal RNA is filed under the name uncultured bacterium. RNAcentral's name for it is "partial 16S ribosomal RNA". It matches the Rfam family "Bacterial small subunit ribosomal RNA", at positions 524 to 776 of the family's 1533-position model. The record is from RNAcentral.